GAUGAACGCUGGCGGCGUGCCUAAUACAUGCAAGUCGAGCGAACGGACGAGAAGCUUGCUUCUCUGAUGUUAGCGGCGGACGGGUGAGUAACACGUGGAUAACCUACCUAUAAGACUGGGAUAACUUCGGGAAACCGGAGCUAAUACCGGAUAAUAUUUUGAACCGCAUGGUUCAAAAGUGAAAGACGGUCUUGCUGUCGCUUAUAGAUGGAUCCGCGCUGCAUUAGCUAGUUGGUAAGGUAACGGCUUACCAAGGCAACGAUGCAUAGCCGACCUGAGAGGGUGAUCGGCCACACUGGAACUGAGACACGGUCCAGACUCCUACGGGAGGCAGCAGUAGGGAAUCUUCCGCAAUGGGCGAAAGCCUGACGGAGCAACGCCGCGUGAGUGAUGAAGGUCUUCGGAUCGUAAAACUCUGUUAUUAGGGAAGAACAUAUGUGUAAGUAACUGUGCACAUCUUGACGGUACCUAAUCAGAAAGCCACGGCUAACUACGUGCCAGCAGCCGCGGUAAUACGUAGGUGGCAAGCGUUAUCCGGAAUUUAUGGGCGUAAAGCGAGCGCAGCGGUUUUUUAAGUCUGAAGUUAAGGCUGUGGCUUAACCAUAGUACGCUUUGGAAACUGUUUAACUUGAGUGCAAGAGGGGAGAGUGGAAUUCCAUGUGUAGCGGUGAAAUGCGUAGAUAUAUGGAGGAACACCGGUGGCGAAAGCGGCUCUCUGGCUUGUAACUGACGCUGAGGCUCGAAAGCGUGGGGAGCAAACAGGAUUAGAUACCCUGGUAGUCCACGCCGUAAACGAUGAGUGCUAGGUGUUAGACCCUUUCCGGGGUUUAGUGCCGCAGCUAACGCAUUAAGCACUCCGCCUGGGGAGUACGACCGCAAGGUUGAAACUCAAAGGAAUUGACGGGGGCCCGCACAAGCGGUGGAGCAUGUGGUUUAAUUCGAAGCAACGCGAAGAACCUUACCAGGUCUUGACAUCCCUCUGACCGCUCUAGAGAUAGAGCUUUCCUUCGGGACAGAGGUGACAGGUGGUGCAUGGUUGUCGUCAGCUCGUGUCGUGAGAUGUUGGGUUAAGUCCCGCAACGAGCGCAACCCCUAUUGUUAGUUGCCAUCAUUCAGUUGGGCACUCUAGCGAGACUGCCGGUAAUAAACCGGAGGAAGGUGGGGAUGACGUCAAAUCAUCAUGCCCCUUAUGACCUGGGCUACACACGUGCUACAAUGGCUGGUACAACGAGUCGCAAGCCGGUGACGGCAAGCUAAUCUCUUAAAGCCAGUCUCAGUUCGGAUUGUAGGCUGCAACUCGCCUACAUGAAGUCGGAAUCGCUAGUAAUCGCGGAUCAGCACGCCGCGGUGAAUACGUUCCCGGGCCU
RNAcentral lists this ribosomal RNA (1367 nucleotides) under uncultured bacterium. RNAcentral describes it as "bacterial SSU rRNA". It matches the Rfam family "Bacterial small subunit ribosomal RNA", at positions 28 to 1381 of the family's 1533-position model. The record is from RNAcentral.